This is a long non-coding RNA of Cimex lectularius (bed bug), 1111 nucleotides long. RefSeq lists it as uncharacterized. The record is from RefSeq and is a predicted model, not a curated record. The transcript is spliced from 3 exons. Lineage: Eukaryota; Metazoa; Arthropoda; Insecta; Hemiptera; Cimicidae.
AGUGAGGUGCGGCAAUGAAUUCUCAGAACUCAAACAGACACAGGCGCGUGUACCGCAAGCCAACAAUGGUCUCAACAUGAUUGGCAGGGCUGAAAAAUCGGCAGAUAUUACCCUUUUCGAGAAAGAUCGCACGAAUCAGUUUCAAGAUAUUAAAAUAUGAAUUCAGUGAGAAAUGAGAAAAAAAUGCAAGCUUUACUGCAUUUCCAAUGAAAAAUGACACGUCAUCCUGCAUUGUACGUCAAUAAAAAGGAGCUACCGACUUCCUUCAUGUCGGAUACUUAGGACUAUAUCUAGGCAGUAGACUGACGUGGAAGCCCCACACAAGACAAGAGACAACUAACUCAAGACUUGGACACCUAUGAAGACUUUUAGGAGCGAAAUCUGUUUUUACCAUAAAACACAACAUUCCUGCAACCAUUUCUGUUUGUGGCCCCAGCUUUUGAUAGGAUAUGUCUCUCAGGCAUCUUUAUAAACGGAAAAGCUUCCUAUCCUCAUUGUCUUAUACCGGAAUCAUAAUUAACUGAUCUAUGCGUCAAAACGGGGUGCCUUAACGAGUGCUCAGUUAACAGAUCAAUACAAGCCGGCGUCUCACAAGGAGGCAUUCUUGGUGUAUCCCGUUUAUACUGUUAAUUUUCCUAUGCAUCGCAACACCACCAUUACAUCUAAUCCUAUCAAAGCAGUCUCCAAUAUCCAGGAACACCAUCAACUUAUCAAGACUGGUGCAAACAAUGGUAGACAAUUCUAACUGUCCAAAAAUGUACCAGGUUUAAAUGUAAAUUAGAAAACGGCUCCCACAUCCAAUUACUUUGGUCUAAAUUGAUUCGAUCCCGCAUCCAAAACGGUCUUACGAAGCUCUUAACCUAUCCUAACCUUACUUCCCAAACCGACUCAACAAGUUUCCCUUCCUAGACUCCGCCUCGUUACCUCAGACGACGAUGGCUUAAAAGUCAUACUCACCUCUUAAUCUCUCAUAAUGAGUGUUAGCGUUGACUGUUUUCUCUAACAUGUGCCCUCCGAAACCCUGAAUGAUGUAAUUAAAAAAAGAAGAAACUUUUUUCAUUGCAAGACUGCAAGGUUUAACUUCUAAUAACACUGGAGUUUUUAUACUUCU